GAUUAUUAUGCUAAAUUAUUUUGAGAAAAGAGAGAACCUACAAAGCUUGCUUGAUUCAUGACCAAUUUAUGUAUCUUCCAAAGACAUUAAAGAGUUAUUAAUUUGGGGCUUGUAAAAGGUAACUCGUACUUUGUUGAACAAUUUACAUUGCUUUGCAUGAUUUAUCUUCAACUCUCUCUUCUCCCUCCAAAGGUCAAAUCUACAUUGUUAUAUUGCAUUUUUUUAAUACUUUUACAAUAUUUUUUUAUGCCAAACAUCAAUUUUUUUUGCAAAGGAUACUUGGAGCUCUUUGUAAUGAGUAAGAAUCACUGUAUAGGUGCUACAAGUAUUAGUGCCCUUAAGAAUCCAUCUUAAGGUUGGUCUAAAUUUGUGGUUUUGAGUGAUUCCACAAUUCCCGCGUAAUUUUAUUCCGAAUUAUGAUUAUUCAAGUUUAUUGACUUGCAUAAGCAUAAUUACCUCUUCUAAGGGUGACGAUCGCAUUUCUAAUAUUAUUUUUAUCUCAUAUUAGUUUGUAGAGUGUCUGAUUGGUGCUGAGGUGGCCACGAACCUCUCAGCUCUCAGUCGAGGUGCUUUUGAUGUAUCAUUGUUUUGACUGAAAAUCCAAAAUAACAUUUUUCGAAUAUUGUGACACACUUCCAGCUAUUGGAUUUCAAUUCCUGAAAGUGAUUAUAACCUCCUACCAAAAAAUAAAUGGUCUCAUAGUAUACAAUCCCUACUAUAAAAAAGUGGGACUUGAGUAAAAUAUGAAUCAUAAGGGACUAUUUUUAUUUUCUAAAAAUAAAACAAGAUUUUUCUAUAAAUUUCAUUUUUUUCUCUUUUUUCUUUUUGAGUUGAUCAAUGGAAGAAUAAAAUAUAUUAAAUCUAGAUAUGUUUGCAAACUUUGGGUUUCAAAGAUGCUCUCAAGAGUGUUUUUGGGGCUUCAUUUACAUUAUAGAAAUGGACAAAAUGGAUAGUGUUUGCAAGUUCUUGAUGUUGAUUCUUCCUUUCCGUUGCUUUGUCUCACAGUCUCUCCAGAUCUACUCUUCUUCUCUCUCUCUCUGGAUCUGCUCUCCCCCCCCUCCCCCUUGUUGUUGUUCCUCCUGACUUACUAUUGCUCCCUCUCCCUCUCCCCUCCCCCACUCUCUCUCUCUCUCUAAAUAUGUUGUCUCUCUCUCUCUGUAGUAUAAUCACUUUGUUAUUGUUUGCCUUCAUUGUGGCUACAUCAUCUCUCAGAUUUUACUUCACUAACCUUUCUCUCUCCUUCUCAGACCUAUCUUUCUCUCUCUCUCUCUCUCCCCUUUCUCUCACUACCCUCUGCCCCACUCUACUUCCCCCUAAGUCUUUUUCUCUAACUUCUUUCGCUCUUCCUCUUCCCAUAGACACACACAUACACACACACACACACACUCUCUCUCUCUCUCUCUCUUUGUUUUCUCUUUUGUUGUCGUUUUUGUUUUCUUAGCUCCAAUCUGUAUGUGUGUGUCUGUGUUUUUCUCUUUUUGUUUUCUCUUUUACUCCGUUCUUUAAUUUCUUAGCUACAAUUUCUCUUUUGCCUUCCUCUAGCUCCCUAUGUUUUCUUCCUAGUCAAACUCCUUUUCUUCUGUUUAGGAGAGAGGUAGAAUGGAAUGUAUUUUUGAGGAGCGGGGGCUACUGCCUCUUUUCACUUUUCAUCUCUUUUUGCUUCAACCCUUCUACCUCCCAUCCCCUUUUCCUAUCCAUAUCCUUCUGCCCCUUCUCAUUUUUCAUUGAUGUCCUCUCUUUGGUUUCGACAACUUUCUCUUUCCUUUGACUCUUUAUCUGCCAAAGUAGGUAAUACCUAAGAUGAGAUUCUUCCCUAUUUAGCAUUUGGUAUCCUAACAUGGGUUUUUUAUUGAACCUUUGGAGUUUUCUUCGAGGCAGAGCGUUUUUUAGGAGUGGGGGCUUAUGCCUCCUUUCACUUUUCAUCUCUCUUUGCUUUAUGUCUUCCACCGCUCAUCUCCUUUUCUUAUCCUUAUCCUUCUGCCCCUUCUAACUUUUCAUAGAUGUCAUCUUUUUGGCUUUUGAGAUCUUUUCCUUUCCAUCGACUUUAUCUUCCAAAGUAGGAAACACUUAAGAUAGGAUUCUCCCUUCUAUUUAGGAUUCGGUAUCCUGACAUGGUGCUUUUAUCGAGCCUUUGGGGUUUGCUUCAAGGGCUUUGGUUACCUUUGUAUUUGGCUAUUAGGUUAAUGACUAAGAUGGAGCAUGGCCUAUCAUUGGGCUGGACGGAGUCUUAUCGUGAUUUUUUCAUGUUCCCUUUAAGGGCCCCAAAAUUCUUGUAAGCAAAUAUUGUUUCUUUGAGGAGUUGUCAGAGAUGGCGUCCUCCACAUUCUCUUUCUUAGAUCCCACUUCUCUUCACUUUAGUCGUUUUGUUUGACUAUUCAUCCCUUAACCUCUUCAUCUCCUCUUCUCCUUGGAUUAAUCUUUUAAUCCUACUUUACAAUCGCUAGUUAUGCACUGCCACCCUCCUAUAUGCCACUAUGUUUUUUUUGUUGUUCAUUUGGGCGUCAUCUUUAGUGCAAUAUGUCUGCCACCUUAAACUCGACGUGUGAGGUGAUUGCAGAAGGGAAGGCACUGAUGGCAUGUCUCUUUGAGAAGUCUGGGUUGGUUUGUGGAGGUCUAAUAGUAUCAACACCCCAUUUUGAAAUUGGCUAUUUUUUUUUAAUUUCCUAGACUCUAAAUCUGAAAAAUCCAUAGGAAAAUGUAUUAGAAAUGCUUAAUAAACCCCUAUGGACUACAUAAUUAUAAUACACCCAUGUCUACCAUUCCUAUUGUCCAUCGUCCCCCUAAUCAUAGCCUCAAACUUUUAGAAACCCUAGGAAAUAUCCUAUAAAUCCUAAAAACCAUACGAAAUUAUCCUCAAACCCUAAGAUACAGGAAACCCAGACUUUUGGAUAGGUGCCAAGCUUGAAGUUGGAUAAAUAUCCAUAAGAAAGGGGACAAAAUAUCGAGAAGAUAGAACUACCGAAAAAACAAACCGAAAUCAAUCUUAGAUGGCUGAUGGUGCGAAUCUAGUCCAGAAAGCCUUGAAAUGAUGGAGGAUUCGUCGUCUAACUUUUAGGACCAAAAAAACAUUGUCAUUGAGCUAUAGAACCCGAUAUGCUUAAGGGUUUCCCUUUUAACCCAAGUCAACCGUAAACGGCGGAGGGUCCAGCAUCCACCAACUUAAUUUCAGUUAGCUCGAAAUUUUGAGAUAAACACAUUAGUUAAGAACCCAAACCAUGUUGAAACCACCUUAGAAACCUAUAAAAAGACCCUAAUUCAGGUCAUUGAAGAUGCACCCAUUCUUAGAAAGAAAAACCUUAGAACUAUAAAGCCUUAAUCCCUUGAGAGAACAAACAAAAAUUUUCCAAACCCUAGAUCAGAGAUAACUUAGCUUAGAAAAUUAUAAACCCUAACCUUAAGCAUUUUAGCCUUCGAAUCUUAGGUCCUACAAAAACCUAAUAUUUGAUAAACGUAACUAAACCCUAAAAUCUUAAUCUUCCUUCAAAACUUGUUCUUAGUCAAAUUUUAAUUAAUUUCAGUGUUCAAUUAGUCAAAUUUGAAGAGAAAAUAUAAGGAAAAAAUGUGUAAACAUCAUGCGGUCUUCAUUUGGGCGACAAGUUCGAGUUUCAGGCAUCUUGGGCCAAUCAGCCCAGGUUGGAAACUUUUCUUUUAUUUUCCUUAUAAUUUCAAUUAUUUUAUUUAGGUUUGAUUUCAAUAGCUCUCUCUUCCUUUUUGGUAAGAAGAUCAAAUCAACACUACUUACAAUCUAAAUGAAAAUAGGCCUCUUUAGGUUAAUUAGCCUUCAGAUUGCAAUUCGACCGAUCCCCACAAAUCUCUGUUGUCAUUUUAAUUAACUGAUUUUGUAGUGCCAAAUCUGGAAGAUUUUAGUUAAAAAUCUUCCAGAUCUGCGCUGUAAACAAGUGGUAGGUUUCUUUGGAUGUGCUUUGUAUGGUUUAGUUGGGCUCUUUGGCAGUUGGUGGUGUAGGAUUCUGCGAGGUUAGGUUUUGAAUUGUAUUUGGAGCUCAUGGUAGAUCAUCAUUGGAAGUAUGGAGUAUAGCUUCCAUUUUUCUAUUUCUUCCUCUCUAUAUUUAUUAUUGUAUUUCUAGAGCUUUGCUUCUUUAUCUAAUAAAAUUAUAUUUAAUAUAUUAAGAAAAAAGAAUGGAACAUACAACUUUGUUCAUAAGUAUUCCUAUUGUGUGCAACACCAAGGUAGCCACCUCUGUUCCUAUGUAGAUUUGCCUACUACAUGUAUAGCAUAAGGUACACUUAUGUGCCAUCCAAGGUCCUACUCAUAUGCUGGACACAAGCUAAUCUCUACCUAUCCAAUACUUGAUGGUGGAAUGCAUACAAUGCACGUGCACAAUUUAUUAUGCGGACCCUUAAAAAGAGAGUAUUUUUUUUAAGGGUGUGGUUUGUAUAAUGCUUAAACAUUAAAGUAAGGUGCACCUUCAAUUAGUAUCGAAAGAUGUUGUUUCAGUAUUGCAAAUCUUGUGAUGGCCUAAAACUUUACUUUUAUCUCUAAUUAUAAAAUUUAAAGCUUCAGAAAUAGUGGAGAUCGAACAGAUCUAUGAAUACUUGACAAUUUUGAAAAUUGAUGGUCUAGAAAUGUAUUACAAGACGUACUAUUUUUAAUACUUGAAAUUCAUAUUUACUCAUGUCCAUGCAUCUUGAGGUCGAGAUUAUCGAUUGGAGGAUUUUUUGGCAUCGAACAACCUCUUUUAGUGAAUUUUUGAGGUGAGCCUUAAUUUGAUUGUUUAAGGCCUCGCUGUUAUAUGAAUUUUUUCCUUCUUUUGUUACAUUUAAUCUAUGUUAUUUGGACACUUCAUUCUUGUUGAAGUAUUGCAUGUCUAAUACAUAUCAAUACUUGGACACACUUCCAGAGUUCCAAGAAUGAGAAUACUAAAAUGCUACAUACAGCGCAAUGAUGGCAUUUGAGAAGCAUGGAUGUACCGAUUUCAUAUGUUGUAGUGUUGUGACAACAUAUGUAAGCAUUAAUCAUUCAUGUGGUUAAUGAAGCAGAGCUCUGAGCGUUGAAGAUGGGCAUUUUGAAUCUUAAUAUUGCCUAUCCUAGGGUGUAUAUAGAGGGAGACUUGGCAAAUGUCAUCAAUGAUGCUUAGCUCCAGAUUCAAUCCCAUGGCAUACUGGCAGUCUCAUGGACGAAAUUCUAAUUCAUUUGAGAGACUUCCAUGUUGCUUUCUCGCAUGUACGACGUGGAUUUAAUUCGGAUGCUGACCGCUUGGCUAAUAUGGCUACCUCCUAGGUUUUGGUCUUUGUUGGCCUUCUUCCUGUAAUUCGUUCGUCCCCUUGUUUUCUCUCUUGGUCUCUAGAGGACCGGCUUUCUCUCCCUUCUUCUUUUCCUUCUCAUUUCCUUUUGUUGUUUAUCUUUGUGCUUUUCAUUACCUUAAUGAAGUUCACACUUACUAAAAAAAAAAACACAUGUAAGCAUAAUAAAUACGACUUAUUUAUUAUAGAAAAUAAAUAAGUCAUUAUUGACAUUGGAUAUGAAAUUGAGCACUAGAGGAUGUGUCAUUGAUUGGGCACAUAAUCCAAACGAAAAUUUCACGAAUGCUGCAACCCACUUCAAUCUAUUUGAUUUCAUAUCCAAUGACUAAAACUAAUUUUGACCUCUUGUACAAAAAGUAAAUAGUCUUAUAAUAUACAAUUCAUUUAUUAUAAUACCUUCAAGGAAAAUGAUUAUAUAAGGAUGAGGCCCUAAACAAUCAAAUUAAGGUGCACAUCAAAAAUUCACUAGAAGAGGUUGUUCUUAUACUAAAAAGACUUCAAUUCAAUCAUCUCAACCUGAAGAUGUAUGGACA
RNAcentral lists this long non-coding RNA (5795 nucleotides) under Amborella trichopoda. RNAcentral's name for it is "long non-coding RNA (ATRI_LNC002061)". The record is from RNAcentral. Lineage: Eukaryota; Viridiplantae; Streptophyta; Magnoliopsida; Amborellales; Amborellaceae.